This 253-nucleotide ribosomal RNA is filed under the name uncultured bacterium. RNAcentral's name for it is "partial 16S ribosomal RNA". It matches the Rfam family "Bacterial small subunit ribosomal RNA", at positions 524 to 776 of the family's 1533-position model. The record is from RNAcentral.
UACGUAGGGGGCUAGCGUUGUCCGGAAUCACUGGGCAUAAAGCGCACGUAGGCGGCUAGGUCCGUCCGAUGUGAAAGCCCCCGGCUCAACCGGGGAAUUGCAUCGGAUACAGCCUGGCUUGAGGACGGUUGGGGUGAGUGGAACUCCUGGUGGAGCGGUGAAAUGCGUAGAUAUCAGGAGGAACACCGGUGGCGAAAGCGGCUCACUGGACCGUAACUGACGCUGAGGUGCGAAAGCUAGGGGAGCAAACGGG